UAAACAUAACUUACUUUAGUUUCCCAUUGGUGGUUUCUAAGAUUUCAAGGUCUCUUGCUUUGACUUUUGUUUUAGAUAGUGUUUCUUUUUUUCCCGUCUCUUAUUGCAAUCUAUAGGGUCGCAAGGUUUGGUGCAUAUUAAUCUAACCAAAUCCUUUAUUUUGGCAUUAAGAAUUUUGUUCCAAAGAAAGCACCACGACCAGCUCCAACCAUCAAGGUGAGUAACUCGUGAUUUUAUUUGACUUUUUCGAUAAAAUUUCAGAGCAACAUGGACUCCAUGGCAGGAGAACCAAACCUGAUUUCUCAUCCCUUAUUUUCUCCUCCUAAUCUAAUACUACGCGAAAUGUGCAAGAAAGUAACAUAAACGUUUUGAACUUUUAGCUUUUCAUUGUUCGUAAUUUGGGCAUGGACUGUAGAUUGAUGAGAACGUGCCUACAGGCGUUAGCAUAACUUCAAACGUUAUCAUAUGCUGACAUGCAAGAAAGAAUGAGGACAAUGAGCAGUGAAGGUCAUGCCCAUCUUAUUUGGAUCAAAGAAAAAAACAUUCACCAUGAAAUAACCCAUUGAUGCAAUGUCUUUGAGCGUAGAGAAGAUAAUUUCGUUUGUUAUAAGCGUGUGAAGGCCUAGCGAAUUGAAUCGCUGGUCGAUUAAGACUUUCAAAGCCAGGUUGUUUCCUCUGUAUGAAAGCAAAUUAUAAAAUUUUUAAGGAAAUGACUUAGGAAAUUCUAACUCUCAAUUUGUUCUUGUUUUAUUGAUUAGUUGUUGUUUUAUCAGGGUCUUGCAAGGAUCAUGCGAAAGACGACGUCUUAGCACACUCAAAUCAGGGAGUACGAGCAGCGGAGGGGGUGAGAAUGACCAUGUUGAUUUCAUGGGGAUUUCCAAUGGGUGGCUGGCUUAAGGUGAACACAGAUGGUGUUUCGCAUGGAAAUUUGGGACUGGCAGCAGCGGGUGGAUGUUUUGUAUAUGGCAUGGGAGCGUAGAGUAACAAGGGUGGAACUUGAGGUCGAUUCUGAAUUGGUGUUGGAGUUUCUUAAGACAAAGAUUGAUGAGUCUCAUCUAGUGUCUUUCCUAUGCGUUUGUGCUAUGAAUUUUUCUUUAAAGAACUGGAUUGUUUGUAUUUCUCACGGGUAUAGAGAAACUAAACGUUUAGCAGAUGGAUUAGCUAACUAUGCUUUUUCUUUGCCUUUGGAUUUUUAUGCCUGAACAUUGUGAGUUUGAUUAUGUUUGAAGACGCUCUUUAACCAAAAAAGCGAAAGGGUCUUGCAAGUGAAGACCUGAUUGGUUGAAUGUUGACUUUAUCCAUCUCUUUGAUCAAUUAAGUUAAAUAGAGUUUCUCGACCACAAAGUAUCACUCAAAUCAAAUUGAUUAGAAGAUUUUUCACAAGUACGAGAAGAAAAGUCACAAACUCUGAAAGCUCAAAAUGACAUAAUACAAAAAUGACAUAAUACAAAAAUAUGUUGAUUGUUCUGUGUGUUGGCUAAGGUUCACUUAGACCCAUUUUAUCAACCGGUACUCGGUUCGGUUUGAGUGAACCGAUCGGUACACCAUAAUAAUUUUAUCCCUUUCACCUGCUCAAGUACUCGAGUUUCUUUCUUAGCCGCUAGGCGCUGAAAUCCCUUAUUCUCCUUUGUCAUCAAACCUUGAUUUCUUUCAUUACCGAUUCAUUCCCGUGCUGCAAUACCAUAGUCGAGAUCCGGAAAACUGUUUUGAGUAUGUUUGCUUUACGUUUGGUGGCUACAUGUUUGUAGCCUAUAUAAUUUAUCAUGUGAUUCGUCUAGUGUUUUAAGAUGUGGUUCAAGUUUCACUUCAAUUUCUUUGUGGUUUCUCCACUUCAAUUUUUGUAAUGUUUGUGUGAUUACUUUUUUGAUUAACUCUCUCCAGACUUGUUCGAUUGGUGUUCGGUGAUUUAGAAUGCGUGGUUUUGGAA
Molecule: long non-coding RNA, 1927 nt
Organism: Arabidopsis lyrata subsp. lyrata
Lineage: Eukaryota; Viridiplantae; Streptophyta; Magnoliopsida; Brassicales; Brassicaceae
Exons: 2
Source: RefSeq, a predicted model, not a curated record